This is a long non-coding RNA of Amblyraja radiata (thorny skate), 156 nucleotides long. RefSeq lists it as uncharacterized. The record is from RefSeq and is a predicted model, not a curated record. Lineage: Eukaryota; Metazoa; Chordata; Chondrichthyes; Rajiformes; Rajidae. The transcript has 3 exons.
CAGCGAUCUGACAUUAUCUGGCAUUAUGCUACAUACUUAGGGAUUUACAAUCCUUACCGAAGACAAAUAACCUAUAAAUCUGUACGUCUUUGGAGUGUGGGAGGAAACUAGAGCACCCGGGAGAAAACCCACGCAGACCAAGGUGAAUGCCCAGAG